Molecule: ribosomal RNA, 324 nt
Filed under: uncultured Mycobacterium sp.
Lineage: Bacteria; Bacillati; Actinomycetota; Actinomycetes; Mycobacteriales; Mycobacteriaceae
Description: bacterial SSU rRNA
Rfam family: Bacterial small subunit ribosomal RNA
Source: RNAcentral
AGAGUUUGAUCCUGGCUCAGGACGAACGCUGGCGGCGUGCUUAACACAUGCAAGUCGAACGGUAAGGCCCUUCGGGGUACACGAGUGGCGAACGGGUGAGUAACACGUGGGUAAUCUGCCCUGCACAUCGGGAUAAGCCUGGGAAACUGGGUCUAAUACUGAAUAGGACCACAGAACACAUGUCCUGUGGUGGAAAGCUUUUGCGGUGUGGGAUGGGCCCGCGGCCUAUCAGCUUGUUGGUGGGGUGAUGGCCCACCAAGGCGACGACGGGUAGCCGGCCUGAGAGGGUGUCCGGCCACACUGGGACUGAGAUACGGCCCAGAC